Molecule: transfer RNA, 65 nt
Filed under: Pitta nympha
Lineage: Eukaryota; Metazoa; Chordata; Aves; Passeriformes; Pittidae
Description: tRNA-Ser
Source: RNAcentral
AGGGGAGGUUCCAACCAACAAGAACUGCUAAUCCUUGCCUCUGGACAUAAAACCCCAGCCCCCUU